UAGGGAAUCUUCGGCAAUGGACGAAAGUCUGACCGAGCAACGCCGCGUGAGUGAAGAAGGUUUUCGGAUCGUAAAACUCUGUUGUUAGAGAAGAACAAGGACGUUAGUAACUGAACGUCCCCUGACGGUAUCUAACCAGAAAGCCACGGCUAACUACGUGCCAGCAGCCGCGGUAAUACGUAGGUGGCAAGCGUUGUCCGGAUUUAUUGGGCGUAAAGCGAGCGCAGGCGGUUUCUUAAGUCUGAUGUGAAAGCCCCCGGCUCAACCGGGGAGGGUCAGUGGAAACUGGGAGACGUGAGUGCAGAAGAGGAGGGUGUAAUUCCAUGUGUAGCGGUGAAAUGCGUAGAUAUAUGGAGGAACACCAGUGGCGAAGGCGGCUCGCUGGUCUGUAACUGCCGCUGAGGCUCGAAAGCGUGGGGAGCAAACAGG
RNAcentral lists this ribosomal RNA (429 nucleotides) under Gemmatimonadota bacterium. RNAcentral describes it as "Gemmatimonadetes bacterium partial 16S ribosomal RNA". It matches the Rfam family "Bacterial small subunit ribosomal RNA", at positions 355 to 776 of the family's 1533-position model. Lineage: Bacteria; Pseudomonadati; Gemmatimonadota. The record is from RNAcentral.